CGAGAUUGCCGGCUCUGUGCACGGCUAGAGCGGCCUGUGAGCCCAGGGGCGGGCCAGCUGGCAGUUGGGAGCUUUCUUGGGGACCGAGUUCAGUUUUACAGCUCAUCGGAUAUGCCACGUCUGUGAUUUCCUCUGCAGUUUCUUGCUCAGGUCACGCGUCUUGCUCUGACAACUUCAGCCCUUUGAUUUCAGUUAGUACAGCACCCGACAGCUACAGCCAGAGCUGGCCCUCUCUGCAAUAGGUCCCCCUUCCUCCCACUGCCCCCAGUAAGCCAGUCUUUGGUGAGGAGAUGUAGCCAUGAAACUUGAGUGUUGAGCCCUGUCUAGGGAGCAGAGUAACAUCUUUUUAAAGUAUCUUUUUCUUUGGGGUCUUGGAUGCUUAAUGAGGUUCACCAGGAGAGGUUGUCAACAAGGGUCAGGAAGAUGCAGGAGCACAGGCAGUUCAGCAGAUAAAAUGGAAUACUAAAAAAUAUUUGAUUAAUCAAAAGAUGUCAGGAAAGGAAGAACGAAGAUAAUAUGGGACAAAUAGAAAACAAAUAGCAUGCUGACAGACUUAAGUCCAUCUGUAUCAGUAAUUGAAUUAAAAGUAAAUGUGGAAUAAAAAAAUGCAAUAUGGAAUCCUGGAUUGGAUCCUGGAACAGAGAAAGGACAUUUAUGAAAAGACUGGUGACAUCCAAAUAAAGUCUGGAGUUUAUGUAAUAGUAAUGUGCUAGUUUUGGUUUUUUAGUUUUGGUAAAUACGCUAUGCUUAUGUAAGAUAUUAACAUUAGUGGAAACUAGGUGAGAAGUAUUUAGGACCUGUAGUAGUAUUUUUGAAACUAUUCUGUAAAUCUAAAGUUAUUCCAAAAUAAAAUGCUUAUUAAAAAAUGUAAGUAGACUAAAUAUCAAAUAAAAAUCUUAACAAUAUCAGUCUGAAUUCAGAAAA
Equus caballus (horse) is the source of this 924-nucleotide long non-coding RNA. RefSeq lists it as uncharacterized. Lineage: Eukaryota; Metazoa; Chordata; Mammalia; Perissodactyla; Equidae. The record is from RefSeq and is a predicted model, not a curated record.